CGGGUAGCCUGCCCAAGAGACUGGGAUAACAACCUGGAAACAGAUGCUAAUACCGGAUAACAACACUAGACGCAUGUCUAGAGUUUAAAAGAUGGUUCUGCUAUCACUAUUGGAUGGACCUGCGGUGCAUUAGCUAGUUGGUAAGGUAACGGCUUACCAAGGCAAUGAUGCAUAGCCGAGUUGAGAGACUGAUCGGCCACAUUGGGACUGAGACACGGUCCAAACUCCUACGGGAGGCAGCAGGC
RNAcentral lists this ribosomal RNA (245 nucleotides) under uncultured bacterium. RNAcentral's name for it is "partial 16S ribosomal RNA". It matches the Rfam family "Bacterial small subunit ribosomal RNA", at positions 118 to 354 of the family's 1533-position model. The record is from RNAcentral.